UGGAGUGUGGCUCAGGGGGAGGGAGACUGUCUGGAAAGCACAGGCCCUGGGUUCAAGACCCAGCACUGCAC
RNAcentral lists this transfer RNA (71 nucleotides) under Marmota monax (woodchuck). RNAcentral describes it as "tRNA.Ser". It matches the Rfam family "tRNA". Rfam says of the family: Transfer RNA (tRNA) molecules are approximately 80 nucleotides in length. Their secondary structure includes four short double-helical elements and three loops (D, anti-codon, and T loops). The record is from RNAcentral. Lineage: Eukaryota; Metazoa; Chordata; Mammalia; Rodentia; Sciuridae.